Molecule: ribosomal RNA, 403 nt
Filed under: uncultured bacterium
Lineage: Bacteria
Description: partial 16S ribosomal RNA
Rfam family: Bacterial small subunit ribosomal RNA
Source: RNAcentral
AUUGAACGCUGGCGGCAGGCCUAACACAUGCAAGUAGAGCGAGCGGCGAACGGGUGAGUAAUGUAUGGGGACUGCCCGAUAGAUGGGGAUAACUAAUGGAAAAGGUAGCUUAUACCGCAGACUAUAGGAUAACCCAUAUGGGAUUAGCUAGUAGGGGAGGUAAUAGCUCACUUAGGCGACGAUCCCUAGCUGGUCUGAGAGGAUAAUCGGCACCACUGUGCCGGAGAACGGGCCCAGACCCCUACGGAGGCACAAGUGGGGAAUCUUGCACAAUGGGCGCAAUCCUAAUGCAGACAUGCGGCGUGUAGGAAGAAGUCCCUGGGGUUGUAAAGUAUUUUCAGUCGGUAGGCGUUACCGACAGAAGAAGCACCGGCUAACUCCGUGCCAGCAGCCGCGGUAAUUC